UACAGAGGGUGCGAGCGUUAAUCGGAAUUACUGGGCGUAAAGCGCACGUAGGCGGCUUGGUAUGUCGGGUGUGAAAUCCCCGGGCUCAACCUGGGAACUGCAUCCGAAACUGCCUUGCUAGAGUAUGGGAGAGGGAAGUGGAAUUUCCGGUGUAGCGGUGAAAUGCGUAGAUAUCUGCAGGAACACCCGUGGCGAAAGCGGCGCGCUGGACCACUACUGACGCUGAGGAACGAAAGCUAGGGGAGCAAACAGG
RNAcentral lists this ribosomal RNA (253 nucleotides) under uncultured bacterium. RNAcentral describes it as "partial 16S ribosomal RNA". It matches the Rfam family "Bacterial small subunit ribosomal RNA", at positions 524 to 776 of the family's 1533-position model. The record is from RNAcentral.